This is a long non-coding RNA of Danaus plexippus (monarch butterfly), 654 nucleotides long. RefSeq lists it as uncharacterized. The transcript has 5 exons. The record is from RefSeq and is a predicted model, not a curated record. NCBI's taxonomy places the organism in Eukaryota, Metazoa, Arthropoda, Insecta, Lepidoptera, Nymphalidae.
AACAAUAUGUUAUUUAGCAAAACAUAAAAUUUCUAUGGAUCAGUAUAAUUAUUUCGAAGAAAAAGACAGCAUUUCACCGUUGUCUUAUAAUAAAUUAUGUGUUUCCGCAACAUCGUGAUCGGCGGAGGUGGCGGUGGAAGCUGUAUCCCUAUCCCGAAUCCUUGUGCUUGCUGUUUUAGAUGCUGCGCUGAAUUAAUUUUUAAGCUAUUUUGCUGUGCUCUCAUUCUGGCAGCGAUUGGUGGCGGUAUAUUCUUGUUAGCUGAGAUGUUUUGUAAGUAAUGCGACGUACUGAUUGACAUUCAAGGAAGUAGAUCGUUUGUAAGGAAAUAGAGAAGACAGAAGCAAAUAGAAUAAAAAAUAGUUAUCUGGCGUAAUAUCGUUGUAAGUAAUGAGGCUUUAGGGCUAGCAGCACAAGUAACCGUAUGUCUCAUAUUGGGUGUUAUAGGAAUAUUCACUUUGAUUUUUCUGAUGGCAGCGGAUGUGAUUUAAUAAUGAAUUUUAGGGUGAAGAUUGCAAAUAAUUUCGUAACAAGACCGCUGGAAUUGAAAAGGAUUUUAUUUAAAAACAAAACUUUAUCUGAAGAUGAAGAAGAAACUAAGCGUAAACUUUUAAGUGACGUGAUUGUUUGUCCUAUUAUUGUUGUAAUAAAUCUAA